UAAAGAAAGAGAAACAGGAAGCGUCACUCUUUUCCCCUCGGCUCCUGCUCCAGCGGCACAAUGUGAUCCACCGGCAAGGAGGGAUGCCAAUAAGGCAUCCAAUAAGAUAAGUCUUAUAAAAUAUAUAGGUUUAUGAUAGUUAAGAUUGAACUAGCAGAUGAGAAUCCUAGUCAUUGGCCAAGUAGCUUUGAAUCUAAUACAUGUUUCUGUGUAUUCAUUUGGGCCUAACUCGGGCUGGCGUAAAGCUCACAUGCAGCGGUGGGGCUCAGGCGGCUUUUGGCAGAAAGAUUUAUCAUAACACCAGCCUCUUUUGGUCCCUUUGCUAUCCCAGUUCCUAGGGCUCGCCUGACAUUCAAAAGGUGCUCAGUAAACAUUGAUGCGUGGUUGGCUGAAUUAAUAAUAGAUGGACGUGAGGUUCACUGGCCAUCAGUCCGAGGUGUCAGGUACAGGGGCGCUCACUGAAAGGCUUUCUCUAACUGCUCCUUCCUCCUUUCUUCUUCAGCAACGUGAGGAUGUGGACUAUAGACCUGACUUCUGGGUCCCAGGCCUGAGAAGCUCUCAGAAUAUCAGCCAGUGCCAGAAAGCCUUUCCCCUAGUGGCUAAGCAACCCUCCAUUGCUCAUUCUGCUUUCUGCUCUCUUUAAAGGGGACAGUGUGACCAGAAGUGGCUGGUGGCCUUUGCAACAGCAGGGGGAUUUGGGAGAGGAUGUCCCAGAGUGCCUCCGUGGCUGUGAGAAAUGGCUGAAGCAUAAGCACAAGGAAGACAUUUUGGGGAACAUCAUCGUUCACCUCGGGAGUGAUGGGUGGUCGGCUGUGUGAAGAUGAAGCUCAGUAUCUCCUUCCCCACCAUCAGAACCACCAGAAACUCAAGCUUUGGACAUUCUGUGAGAAUCGCAUAGCCACAGAGACCAAGGAGAACUGGAGAGAGGAAGCACUGAGGAUACAUCAUGGAUGCCAAUCUGAGUGUUCUCAACUUGGUUAUUAUAAAAAAAAGAGAGAGAGAGAGAGAGAGAGAGAAAGAGAGAGAAGGAUAUUCUGGGACUAACAGAUACUACUGGUUCCUCAUCAGUUGGGACCUAAAAGAGCUAGCAGACUCUGAAAGCUUUUUAAUCUCUCUAAAGAUGAUUUCUACCAAUAUGUGGGAAAGCCUUUAAACAAAAAAGGUAAGAAGUCCAGGACCAAAAUGCCCAAGACUCAGCAUCUUGUUACUUCACGUGUCCUACAACACAAAUGCAGUCGUAUUGCUCGGAAGAAACAACGAACAAAGAAAAACGAGGAGGCUGCAGAAUAUACUAAAAUUUUGGCCAAGAGAAUGAAGCCAAAGAAAAUGCCAGAAACAGAUCACCAAGAGAUGGAGGCUGUCCUUACUGACAGCUUCUACUUCUAAGUCUUAGUCCAGUCAAAAAUAUGCCUUUAAGGGUAACAAAGAAAUAAUCAUACAUUGAAAAAAAAGAGUUGCUGUGGUCAUGGUGUCUCUUCACAGCAAUAAAAAUCCUAAGACAGAAGUCAAAUAGGGACAGGGGCCUGGAUGCCAGCUUUCAGGGGGAUAGCAGUGUUAAUGGGGAGUAAGUUCUGCCUGCCAGACGAAUGGCAAUGGCUUUCUUCCACAGACUUCGAGCUGUGGGGUGGCCUCCUUUGUGGUAAAAUACCCUAAUCAUAUCCCACCCAUCCCAGCCUUUCCCAUAUACGUGUGUGUGUGUGUGUGUGUGUGUGUGUGUGUGUGUGUGUGUGUAUACAUAUAUAUUAACAUCAAACAAGUCUUAUAUCCCUUACAUGUAGACCAAUGCACACCUUGACCCAAAUUCUUCUUCAAUGAAGUAAUGUCUAACACUGCUCUAGUGAGAUGGUAAUGCUGGACUGGAGAAUUGCCUGGGAGUUCAUGGGCAAUCUAGUACACAGCAUAGCAGAAGCAAGAGAGACUCAGCCUCAACAAAGCAGGAGGGGAAAACCAAUUCCCCAAAGUUCCACAUGUACACAGUAGCAUGCAUGUUACACAUGUACACCGUAGCAUGCAUGUUACACAUGUACACAGUAGCAUGCAUGUUACACAUGUACACCACAGCAUGCAUGUUACACAUGUACACCACAGCAUGCAUGUUACACAUGUACACCACAGCAUGCAUGUUACACAUGUACACAGU
Molecule: long non-coding RNA, 2140 nt
Filed under: Cricetulus griseus (Chinese hamster)
Lineage: Eukaryota; Metazoa; Chordata; Mammalia; Rodentia; Cricetidae
Description: lncRNA (ENSCGRG00015040560.1)
Source: RNAcentral